CUGUGGGGUCCUCAGUCCACUCACCACUGCCACAUGCCCCAGGGAGUCCUCGGACUAGGGCCUGGGCCGGGCCCCCCUGGGUUCCUAUGGCCUGGGCGAGCAUGGUGCCCUCUUACAGCCUGGGCUGCCUGAGCAUUCCAGGCAUCCUGUCAUUCAGCAGAGAUCUUUCCUCGGUGCCUUCUCUGGAUUGGGUGGGCUGCUGAGCUCUGGGGCUGCUGCAGUGUAUUAUUUAAUAGAUGGGUGCUUCCCUGCUCUCCAGGGUCCCCCUCUGGGAGAGCCAGCACAGGAGCUAACCAGUCAGAGGAGAAGGCGGUGUAGACCAACUGGUGCAGGGGAGACCAUGGGGGUGCUGGGCAAGACAGGGACUUGGCGGAACGCAUGAGAUGAGGCAGGGCUGAGCCCCACAGGCAACUCCUCCCCCAAGAGCCGGGCAUGAGGUGCUCAGCGGAUGACCACCAGCUCCCCGAGCUGGACCACAUAUCACACAGGUUUCUGGGAUUUGCUUCUAGAAAAGCCUGACCCAAACAUUUGGAGAUGACAAGUACUCACUGGCCUGGAAGGAGGUGCUCACCAACAUGUGCUCCCGGCCCAUGCAGAUGGCACUUUACUUCUGCUCGGGGCUGCUGCAGGACCUGGCACAGUUCGGGCACUAUGCGCUCAUCAUGCCCCUGUACACACACUUCACCCACAGUGGGUGCUCGGUGGCCCAAGACCAUUCAGCGGUGAUGGUGGAGGUCCAAAGGUCGGGCGACCCAAGCGUAGGGGAACCUGACCUGAGAACUCUAUGGGCCGGUGCUGCGGAAGCUGCAGGGGGUCUACAGCCAGCCCUGGACACAGCCGAGAGGAGGGCGCUGACCUCGGAGGGCUGCUUUCUGCUGCCCUGGGAGCUGGGUGCUGGGGUCCUAAUCUGUCGUCUGGGGUGGAGGACCAUGCAGCUCAUCCCCCAGCCAUCACCAUUCCCCCCUGCCCGCCCCCCACCCUCAUGCCCCAUACAACACCGCCCACGACCCCGCCCCCUCUUCCCAGGCUAUAGGGAGCGACUAGACAUGGCGCCCGAUACCCUGCAGAAGCAGGCAGACCACUGCAAUGACGGCCGCAUGGCGUCCAAGCACAUGAAGGAACUCAGCACUGGUCUCUUCUUUGCCAUUCUGGUCAAGGUGAGCCCUCCAGCCUGGUGCCCCUCCCCUCCCUCUGGCUCCCGACCCUCCUGGGCACCUGCUCACCAGGAGGCCUCGAGGAGCCCAGGGCAGUGCCAGGAGGUGCCAUGGCUGCAGCACUGUCCCUGCAGGAGAGUGGCCCCCUGGAGUCAGAAGCCAUGGUGAUGGGCGUCCUGAAGCAAGCCUUCGACGUGCUGGUGCUGCGCUACAGCGUGCAGAAGCGCAUCUAGUGCAACGUGAGUGCCCUGGGAGAGCCCAGGGUGGGGAGGGGGGCAGCCCAAGCCAUCCCGCACUGGAGGGGCACAGGCUGUGAUGGGUCACACUCCACCCCUCGCUCCCCCAGCCCUAGCACAAAGCCCACCUGAUGGGCCUUGCUGAGACGCCCAGCUCUCCCACCUGGGAUGGUGGCUCCAGGCCCAGGGUCAGGCCUGGCCCCCUUCCCCAAGGACCCAGGAACCAGAGAGCAGGCCUCUCCAUGGCCAGUACAGCUCGGCAAGGUGUGCAGGCUUUGGGGACUGUGUUUAUAGGAACGUGAAGGAAUGAAAGGCCAGCGAAUGGUCCAUGGCCGCUCUGGAAACUGUGUCCCCUGAAGACAAGGAAGAGAGCUGUCCCUGGCUCGGCUCCUGCCCUGAGUGACUGUUGACUCACAGUUCUCUCUCCAAGGGGACAUGGGCCUGUCCUAAUGCUGCCUUAGGGGCUUGGCUCCAGCUGGCCCUGGGGUCUGCAGGUCACCACCUGCCCCUGUGCGUCGCUUUGAAUUUCCUAACAUCCAGAGUGCCCUGGGAGUGCAGUGUCCAGCCUGUUGUGUGCAGUAAACGUGGUGUUCAUAACCUGGAGCUGGGCAGAAGAGGAACGACAGAGUCCCCCUGCAGACCCUGGGGGCUCUGUAUCCUGAAGUGCAAGCCUAGCUCACCCUGCCGUGGGCCCAGCCCUGCCUGCACUGACAGAUGGCACCAGCAGGGGGCGCAGCGCUCCGCCGCCACAGUUCUCUGUCCCCACCUCAGUGCAGUCAGCCCUGGACGCCUCCACCACUUGCCCCCAAUAGCACACAGAGCCAUGGGCCUUCCCAGCCCCCACCCCUGGCCCUUGGUCACUCUCACCUGCUGCCUCAGCCGAAGGUGGCCUGGCAGGGCCUCCCUGAAUCUCCCUCCAGCCAGGCAGGGGUGGGCCAGGGCCAAGGGCCACCUCCAAGCAGUAAAGCCCUCCAGGGUGGAAGGGCAGGUGGCCCCCUCUGUGUCCCAUCCCCCUUAGUCCUGGCAAACCCUCACCUGCCUCCUGCGGUGCCCCCUGCCCUCUUCUGUGUCCCCUGGGCUCCCCCAGCACUGCAUCCUCCCGGGUAGGGUUUCAGGACCCCCAAGCCCUCCCAGCUCACCCAGACCCUUCCUGAGGGUCCUGCUUCCUGGCACCACCUUCUCUUCCUUGGGGACAACCACAGUGGAGAGAGGCGGGGCUCUGCCUGUCCUGCUAAUGCAGGGGUGCUGGCCUUCUGGGGUCCUUUAGAGAACCUGAUGAAAACUAUGAGUUUACAAGCAAGAAAUUGUCUGGCACCGUUUUCACUAACAACAUGCCCUGAAGGUGGACCCGGGCCCUCAGGUUGUAUUUUAUAAGCCUUGGGAGCGCUCAGGAUGCAUUUGACUCCCCAGCUCUGCCCUGAUCCAGGGCAUUCAUCCUGGAGCAGGCCCCCAUUACAGACAGGCGAGCAGAGGCUUCCAGAGGCCAAGGGAGGGUCCUGGGGGUCCUUCUGCAGGGCCGGAGGCAGAGUUGCACCUCGUCAUCAAGCCCUGCCAUCUUUGUCCCCUCACUGCCGGGCUCUGCACAGGUCAUCACCAUCUUCAGCCUGGUGGAGGUGGUCCUGUGGGCAGCCAUGGCCCUCUAGUAUAGUGCUGUCCUGAGGCAGCCGAGCAACCAGGGCCACCUGGGCCCCGAGGAAGAGGAGGAGGAGUAGGUCGAGUUUGAAAAGGAACCUGAGGGCUGAUGUGCUGGCCAAGCUCAGCCAAACCCUCCUGCCCCACCCCGCUAGCUUUAGGAAUAGGACCUGAUGACACCAAGGGGGAUUUUUAAUUUAGGUUUUAACAACUCAAGGGUUUGCUUUUGGUUUUACUUUUGCAUUUUAUUUAGUGUUUGCAGCUCAGUUUUUAAACAAACUGCAGGGGAGAGGAUGGAGCUGGAAGGAAGGCUGAGACCUGGCCAGCUAUGAGACCGGUUCCCCUUCUGCCCGGGCCCCACUGCCUUCUCCAGCCCAGGGAAUGGGGCCUUUUCUGCAAAUCAGUGUCAGGGAAUAAAAUCAAGUGUGGAGUGCCAUCUGGUGUGUGGGGCGCCUCUGGGAAGCCUGGGCAGCGGAAUGCCCCUUGCACCCAGGGCAAGGGACCCAGUUCAGGCUCCACCCCUCACUGCUGAGCCGAUGUCACCGCCCGGAACCUUCCUGUCAGUUCCAGCACGAUUCAGAGUCGGCUACGUGGCAGAUUGAUGCCGGAGUCUCAUUCUGCCUGAUUAAAAAUGGAAUUAGUAUGCAGGACUGAGAGCGCCCCCGUCACCCUGACGCAUGUGACUGUGUCCAACCCUGCCCCCACUUCCUCUCUGCACCAGCUCCGCAGGGCCUGGUGGGGGUCAUGGGUCCUGCAACACCCUCUCCCCGCAGUUCCUUGGCCAACACUCUGAAUGGCCCUGUCUAUACCCUGGGUCUGAGUCAGUGCCCUGGCAGCUCCAGGCCCAAUCCUGUGCUCUGGGGACAGAAGCAGGCCUGGGCCUCGGGGAGGGGACGAGGGCUCUCCAGUGCCUUCCCAACCUGGCCCCGUUGCCCACCCAGUGUCCUGAGCACCCAUGGAUCCCACCUGCCUUGGGGCCUGGGCAGAGCUGGCUGGCCACUGGGCAUUCCCUUCCCCAGCCAGCCUGACCCCAGCCUGCACUCCUCCCCCUCUGUGGGGGAAGCUCUGUGGCUUGGCGUCCCCGAGAGCUGCUAGAAACUAGGAUGAAAGCCAUGGUGAGCACGGCCUCUGUUCCCCCGCACCAUUUCCUGGGGUGUCGGGAUUAACAAGCUCAUUUGAUCUGGUUACAGUGAAUUUUCUUCAAAGAAACACUCAAUAGGGUCCCUUGUCAGAGUGCCUCGCAGCGCCUGAAUGACAGUGACUGGGUAUGGCUGCCUUUGUUAUGCCACUGUCAGAUGGGGCUGGCUGUGGGAGGCGACCAAAGACAUCCCACACCUGCCCUGGGAGCCUUUCCCUCCUCCAGGGCUCAGCCACCUCAGGCGGCCUUCAGUCUGUGUGUCCUGCCACCCCCGAGAUGUCCCAGAGGCCACGGUCACCCCAUCUGUUCCUGUCCCCAGAACCUUCUCCUGCAGCCAAGUAUCUGCAGGGACAGACAGGCGAGCGUCUGGGGGUUUGGUGUUGGGGUGGAGAAGGCUGUGGGGUGCUGCCCCAGCCCAGGCAGCCUGACUGUGAGAGCCCCAAACAGGAGACAUCCCAGCCCCUUCCCCUCCCCUCCACGCUGCCCACCCUCUGAGGAGCAGUGGCCAAGUUCCUCUCUGGGCUUCUCAGGCCAGGCUGGCCCUGUCCCCCAGGGCAUCCCACGAAGCAUGGGAGCUAUUCCCUCACAGGGAGCACAGACCUGGACGGACACCUGUCCCUAUGUCCCAGCGCCCCCAGGCCCCAGUAAGGAGUAGCCAGGGGGGUAAACAAGGGGGUUCCUGCUGCCUGGGCUUGUUUGGGAAGCAGAUGCUGGGCUCAAAGUUUCUUCAGAGAGCCUCACCUUCCGUGCUGGCCCCAGAGCAUGGCGGGUCCCUGGAGCUGUGGAGGCCAUGGCAGCCCCAGCCCCACCCCACCCCAUCCGGGGGAAGUGGAAACCGUAUCCACGAGGGUCAGGUCAGGUCUCUGCCUCCAGUGACCUGGCAAGGUUGUGCCCAGCCAGGACCUGGGCUCAGGCCCAGGCAGCCGCCACACCCUACCCAGAGCUCAGAGAAGGCAGCCCAGCCUUCUCCCCACACCAGUCACACCGAGCCCCCCGUCUGCAUUCACUCCUUUAAGGAACAUGGCUGACUGAAUCCGGUGCCGCGCAUUCCCAGGAUGGCUCUCCAUGGGUCCACUGGGGCCCAGCCUCUUAUGUGGCCCCUCGCUAAAAGGACUCAACAGAAAGAGUGACCAGACACCGACCCUCAUCUAAAGGAGGACUUGGCCAUUCCCUGGGCUGUCCCACAGCACCUGCCAGCCAGGGCCCGGGCACAGAGCGAGACUGUCUUUUCCUCAAGGAGACACCGUGGGGGAGGGAGGGAGGGGUAGACACCACCAACCUCAUUCCAUGACCAGGGCCUGGCGAUGCUCAGAGGCCAGUGAGUGUGUCCCCGCCCUGAAGGGUCAGUACCGGCCCCCUGGACCUAGGGGGAAGAUGGUGCAGGCAGUGACCGGGCCUGGGGAAGGAGCUGAAGCUCCCAGAGCUUGCAGCCACCCUCCUGGGGAGAGACUGACGCCUCCCCAGUUCCUGUUAGGAAGGACCUCAGGAAAGAACUGGAAUCACACAGCCUGGGGUGGCAGCCUCCUGGCCCCUGAGGAGGAUGUCAGGCCGCAGAAGGGAGGCACAGGCAUGAAGCUUGGGAAGGGGGCACCAGAGGAGGCAAGGCCUGUGCAGAAGCAGCACCAGAGGCCACUGCAGCGGCUCCACCACCCAGCAGCACCGCCAGGAGGCAGGAAGUGGGAGGCCAGGCAGGAGGGGCUGUGCUCGCCCAGGUGCCAGGAGGAAGGGCUGAGAGGGGACAGUGCAGAUGUCCAGAGAGGCCUGGCGGGGAUGGGCCGCCAAAGUCACAGGUGGGAUGGGCUUUCUCCAGGGAGUUCUACAGCACAGAUGGUGCCGCUGGCCUGGCUGUGGCCAGCUCUGCACAUGAGCCUACCCCAGUCCUUGCUGGGCACGGACCAAAGAAUGGUUCCUGGGUUGGAAUCACAGAAUUCAGGGGCUAAUGGCAGUCGGGAUGGGAAUUGGGAGGGGGGACGUGAAUUAAAUAUUUGAGCCCUGGUGGAGGCUAUACAGGAUGUUCACGUUAAAGAAGGUUCUGGAGAAGGG
Molecule: long non-coding RNA, 6203 nt
Organism: Pan paniscus (pygmy chimpanzee)
Lineage: Eukaryota; Metazoa; Chordata; Mammalia; Primates; Hominidae
Source: Ensembl